RNAcentral lists this ribosomal RNA (403 nucleotides) under uncultured bacterium. RNAcentral describes it as "partial 16S ribosomal RNA". It matches the Rfam family "Bacterial small subunit ribosomal RNA", at positions 28 to 526 of the family's 1533-position model. The record is from RNAcentral.
GACGAACGCUGGCGGCGUGCCUAAUACAUGCAAGUCGAACGCAGUUGGGACGGGUGAGUAACACGUGGGUAACCUCCCAUCAGAGGGGAUAACACUUGGAAACAGGUGCUAAACCGAUACUGGAGGAUGGACCCGCGGUGCAUUAGCUAGUUGGUGAGGUAACGACUCACCAAGGCCACGAUGCAUAGCCGACCAGGGAGGGGGAUCGGCCACGCUGGGACUGAAACACGGCUCAGACCAAUACGGGAGGCAGCAAUGUGGAAUCUGCGGCAAUGGACGUAAGUCUGACCAAGCAACGCCGCGUGAAUGAAGAAGGUUUUAGGAGCGUAAAACUCUGUUGUUAGAGAAACGGUAUCUAACCAGAAAGCCACGGCUAACUACGUGCCAGCAGCCGCGGUAAUAC